RNAcentral lists this ribosomal RNA (445 nucleotides) under uncultured bacterium. RNAcentral's name for it is "partial 16S ribosomal RNA". It matches the Rfam family "Bacterial small subunit ribosomal RNA", at positions 354 to 796 of the family's 1533-position model. The record is from RNAcentral.
GUGAGGAAUAUUGCGCAAUGGAGGCAACUCUGACGCAGCCAUGCCGCGUGCAGGAAGAAGGCGCUACGCGUUGUAAACUGCUUUUACCCGGGAAGAAACCCCAGGACGUGUCCUGGGUUGACGGUACCGGAGGAAUAAGCACCGGCUAACUUCGUGCCAGCAGCUGCGGUAAUACGAAGGGUGCAAGCGUUAUCCGGAUUCAUUGGGUUUAAAGGGUGCGUAGGCGGAGCGUUAAGUCAGUGGUGAAAUCCUGCAGCUUAACUGUAGACUUGCCGUUGAUACUGGCGCGCUUGAGUGCGCUUGAAGUGGGCGGAAUGUGGCGUGUAGCGGUGAAAUGCUUAGAUAUGGCACAGAACACCAAUUGCGAAGGCAGCUCACUAAGGCGAUACUGACGCUGAGGCACGAAAGCGUGGGGAUCGAACAGGAUUAGAUACCCUAGUAGUCC